GAUAAGAACGUAGCGAAAUGCGAUAAGUAAUGUGAAUUGCAGAAUUCAGUGAAUCAUCGAAUCUUUGAACGCACAUUGCGCCCAUUAGUAUUCUAGUGGGCAUGCCUGUUCGAGCGUCAUUUCAACCCUUAAGCCUAGCUUAGUAUUGGGAAUCGACUUUACUGUCGUUCCUCAAAUUCAACGGCGGAUUUAUAGCAAUCUCUGAACGUAGUAAUUUUUUUCCUCGUUUUUGAAAUACUAUAAACCUCAGCCGCUAAACCCCCAAUUUUUUUAUGGUUGACCUCGGAUCAGGUAGGAAUACCCGCUGAACUUAAGCAUAUCAAUAAGCGGAGGA
This 334-nucleotide unclassified non-coding RNA is filed under the name soil metagenome. RNAcentral describes it as "partial contains 5.8S ribosomal RNA, internal transcribed spacer 2, and large subunit ribosomal RNA". The stretch from base 4 to 119 matches the Rfam family "5.8S ribosomal RNA", at positions 39 to 154 of the family's 154-position model. The record is from RNAcentral.